This 580-nucleotide ribosomal RNA is filed under the name uncultured bacterium. RNAcentral describes it as "bacterial SSU rRNA". It matches the Rfam family "Bacterial small subunit ribosomal RNA", at positions 17 to 576 of the family's 1533-position model. The record is from RNAcentral.
UCCUGGCUCAGAACGAACGCUGGCGGCGUGCCUAAGACAUGCAAGUCGAGCGGGGCGGUCCCGCAAGGGGCUGCUCAGCGGCGGACGGGUGAGUAACACGUGGGUAACCUGCCCGCUGCAGGGGGAUAACAGCUCGAAAGGGCUGCUAAUACCCCAUAAGCUCACGGGGGCUGAGGCCUCUGGGAGAAAAGGGGCGCCGUAAAGGAGCCCUGGCAGCGGAGGGGCCCGCGGCCCAUCAGGUAGUUGGUGGGGUAACGGCCCACCAAGCCGACGACGGGUAGCCGGCCUGAGAGGGUGGGCGGCCACACUGGGACUGAGACACGGCCCAGACUCCUACGGGAGGCAGCAGUCGGGAAUCUUGCGCAAUGGGCGAAAGCCUGACGCAGCGACGCCGCGUGGGGGAAGAAGGCCUUCGGGUUGUAAACCCCUGUUGCCCCGGACGAAGGACCACAGGAGGAAAUGCCUGUGGGGUGACGGAACGGGGCGAGGAAGGCACGGUUAACUACGUGCAAGCAGCCGCGGUAAUACUUAGGUGGCGAUUUUUUGUUCCGGAAUGACUGGGCGUAGAGGGCCGUGUAUC